AGGACGAACGCUGGCGGCGUGCUUAACACAUGCAAGUCGAGCGGAAAGGCCCUUCGGGGUACUCGAGCGGCGAACGGGUGAGUAACACGUGAGCAAUCUGCCCUUAGCUUCGGGAUAGCCCCGGGAAACCGGGAUUAAUACCGAAUACGACCUCGGCCGACAUCGGCUUUGGUGGAAAGUUUUUCGGCUAGGGAUGAACUCGCGGCCUAUCAGCUUGUUGGUGGGGUAAUGGCCUACCAAGGCGACGACGGGGUAGCCGGCCUGAGAGGGCGACCGGCCACACUGGGACUGAGACACGGCCCAGACUCCUACGGGAGGCAGCAGUGGGGAAUAUUGCGCAAUGGGCGAAAGCCUGACGCAGCGACGCCGCGUGGGGAUGAAGGCCUUCGGGUUGUAAACCCCUUUCAGUUGGGACGAAGCUUCUCCGGUGAAUAGCCGGAUGGAGUGACGGUACCUUCACAAGAAGCACCGGCUAACUACGCGCCAGCAGCCGC
RNAcentral lists this ribosomal RNA (494 nucleotides) under uncultured bacterium. RNAcentral describes it as "SSU rRNA". It matches the Rfam family "Bacterial small subunit ribosomal RNA", at positions 26 to 518 of the family's 1533-position model. The record is from RNAcentral.